Molecule: transfer RNA, 75 nt
Filed under: Alphaproteobacteria bacterium
Lineage: Bacteria; Pseudomonadati; Pseudomonadota; Alphaproteobacteria
Description: tRNA-Val
Rfam family: tRNA
About the family: Transfer RNA (tRNA) molecules are approximately 80 nucleotides in length.
Source: RNAcentral
GGGCGUAUAGCUCAGCGGGAGAGCACUACGUUGACAUCGUAGGGGUCACUGGUUCAAAUCCAGUUAUGCCCACCA